GUCUAUGGCCAUACUACCCUGAACUCAUCCUACCUUGCCUGAUCUUAUGAAGCUAAGUAGGAUUGGGCCUGGUUAGUACUUGGAUGUGAGGAAGAACUUUUUUGCAUUCAAUAACAAAAUCCAGCAGUGAGUCU
Molecule: ribosomal RNA, 134 nt
Filed under: Prolemur simus (greater bamboo lemur)
Lineage: Eukaryota; Metazoa; Chordata; Mammalia; Primates; Lemuridae
Source: RNAcentral